GUUUGAUCAUGGCUCAGGAUGAACGCUAGCGACAGGCCUAACACAUGCAAGUCGAGGGGCAGCGGAGAGGUAGCAAUACCUCUGUCGGCGACCGGCGAACGGGUGAGUAACACGUAUGCAAUCCACCUGUAACAGGGGGAUAACCCGGAGAAAUCCGGACUAAUACCCCAUAAUAUGGGCUCUCCGCAUGGAGGGCUCAUUAAAGAAAGCAAUUUUGGUUACAGACGAGCAUGCGCUCCAUUAGCCAGUUGGCGGGGUAACGGCCCACCAAAGCGACGAUGGAUAGGGGUUCUGAGAGGAAGGUCCCCCACAUUGGAACUGAGACACGGUCCAAACUCCUACGGGAGGCAGCAGUGAGGAAUAUUGGUCAAUGGUCGGCAGACUGAACCAGCCAAGUCGCGUGAGGGAAGACGGCCCUACGGGUUGUAAACCUCUUUUGUCGGAGAGUAAAGUACGCUACGUGUAGCGUAUUGCAAGUAUCCGAAGAAAAAGCAUCGGCUAACUCCGUGCCAGCAGCCGCGGUAAUACGGAGGAUGCAAGCGUUAUCCGGAUUUAUUGGGUUUAAAGGGUGCGUAGGCGGCACGCCAAGUCAGCGGUGAAAUUUCCGGGCUCAACCCGGACUGUGCCGUUGAAACUGGCGAGCUAGAG
RNAcentral lists this ribosomal RNA (648 nucleotides) under uncultured bacterium. RNAcentral describes it as "bacterial SSU rRNA". It matches the Rfam family "Bacterial small subunit ribosomal RNA", at positions 11 to 646 of the family's 1533-position model. The record is from RNAcentral.